This 1242-nucleotide ribosomal RNA is filed under the name metagenome. RNAcentral's name for it is "bacterial LSU rRNA". It matches the Rfam family "Bacterial large subunit ribosomal RNA", at positions 1564 to 2815 of the family's 2925-position model. The record is from RNAcentral.
UGAAUACGAGAUGCUACGGCGUCGAAGCAGUGUAUGUCAGACUUCCAAGAAAAGCUCGCAAUGUCAUAAAUAAAGAAUGCCUGUACCAUAACCGACACAGGUGGGUAGGUAGAGUAUACUAAGGGGCGCGAGAUAACUCUCUCUAAGGAACUCGGCAAAAUAACUCCGUAACUUCGGGAGAAGGAGUGCCUUCUUUAAGAAGGUUGCAAUAACAAGAUCCAAGCAACUGUUUAUCAAAAACACAGGUCUCCGCUAAGUCGUAAGACGAUGUAUGGGGGCUGACGCCUGCCCAGUGCCAGAAGGUUAAAGAAGUUGGUUAGCUUUUGCGAAGCUGAUGACUGAAGCCCUGGUGAACGGCGGCCGUAACGAUAACGGUCCUAAGGUAGCGAAAUUCCUUGUCGGGUAAGUUCCGACCCGCACGAAAGGCGUAAUGAUUUGGAUACUGUCUCGGAGAGGGACUCGGUGAAAUAGACUUGUCUGUGAAGAUGCGGACUACCUGCACCAGGACAGAAAGACCCUAUGAAGCUUUACUGUAACUUGAAAUUGAAAUUGGACUUUAUUUGCGCAGUAUAGGUGGAAGGCGUUGAAAGUAAUCUUGCGGGAUUAGUGGAGCCAUCAGUGAGAUACCACUCCUAUAAUGUUAGAUUUCUAACUUUGGAUCAUGAUCUGGUCAAAGAACAGUUUCAGGCGGGCAGUUUGACUGGGGCGGUCGCCUCCCAAAUGGUAACGGAGGCGUACAAAGGUUUCCUCUGAACGGGUAAAAAUCGUAUCUAGAGUGUAAAGGCAUAAGGAAGCUUGACUGUGAGACCUACAAGUCGAGCAGGGACGAAAGUCGGUCUUAGUGAUCUGACGGUGCUGAGUGGAAAGGCCGUCACUCAACGGAUAAAAGUUACUCUAGGAUAACAGGCUGAUCUCCCCCAAGAGUUCACAUCGACGGGGAGGUUUGGCACCUCGAUGUCGGCUCAUCGCAUCCUGGGGCGGUAGUACGUCCCAAGGGUUGGGCUGUUCGCCCAUGAAAGCGGUACGCGAGCUGGGUUCAGAACGUCGUGAGACAGUUCGGUCCAUAUCCGGUGUAGGCGUUAGAAUAUUGAGAGGAGCCUUCUUUAGUACGAGAGGACCGAGAAGGACAUACCUCUGGUGUACCAGUUAUCGUGCCAACGGUAAACGCUGGGUAGCUAUGUAUGGAGAGGAUAACCGCUGAAAGCAUCUAAGUGGGAAGCCCACCUCAAGAUGAGUAUUCGC